Long non-coding RNA from Meriones unguiculatus (Mongolian gerbil), 592 nucleotides. RefSeq lists it as uncharacterized. Lineage: Eukaryota; Metazoa; Chordata; Mammalia; Rodentia; Muridae. The transcript is spliced from 3 exons. The record is from RefSeq and is a predicted model, not a curated record.
UUGCUCAGGCUGGUCUUCCUCCGAAGCUGAGACUACGGACACAUGCACUGCUGAGGGCUUCCUACGCUUCACAGGGCUCUGUCUCAUGGACAUCACAAAGAUAAGGCUGGCUUGCAGCAGCACUCAGCCCUGGAGGAGAGCACUGUCAGAGUCAGCUUUCCAGCACCCCCAAGAUUUCCCUUCCUCAGCUAAUGUAUUGCAGGGUUAGGUCAAGGUCAGGAAGGGGCCCUGAGAUGGCAGGUGUGGUGCUGUGGAAAUUCCAUUGCUCUCCAAGUCUGAAUGUCUUUCUGAGGCCUGUUGGGGCAGGCCUUGUGUCCACUCCUCCAAGCUAGAGCUGGGGUUCUGCCAGUUGCCUACUCACGUUUCCGAAAGUUGAGAACACAGGACAUUUGGCGUUCUCAAACGCAGCCUCGCCCAUGCUCCACCGAUUCCUGACAACUCACGUCCCAGUGCGGCUAGCAGAUCCUAAAAGAGCCAUGAGAACAGCGGUGGGUGGAGCAGCCCGCCAUGGAGGAAGAGCCAGGCAACGGCACCAACUGACAUCAGUGUGUUUUCCACCACACACCUGAAAACAGGACGCCUCUCACUUAAU